Molecule: non-coding RNA, 30 nt
Filed under: Mus musculus (house mouse)
Lineage: Eukaryota; Metazoa; Chordata; Mammalia; Rodentia; Muridae
Source: RNAcentral
GCUUUCGCCGAAUCCCGGGGCCGAGGAAGC